GAUGAACGCUAGCGGCAGGCCUAAUACAUGCAAGUCGGACGGGAUCCAUUGAUAGCUUGCUAUCAAUGGUGAGAGUGGCGCACGGGUGCGUAACGCGUGAGCAACCUGCCUCCAUCAGGGGGAUAGCCUCUCGAAAGAGAGAUUAACACCGCAUAAUAUCAACAGUUCGCAUGUUCAGUUGAUUAAAUAUUUAUAGGAUGGAGAUGGGCUCGCGUGACAUUAGCUAGUUGGUAGGGUAACGGCUUACCAAGGCGACGAUGUCUAGGGGCUCUGAGAGGAGAAUCCCCCACACUGGUACUGAGACACGGACCAGAAUCCUACGGGAGGCAGCAGUAAGGAAGAUUGGUCAAUGGGCGGAAGCCUGAACCAGCCAUGCCGCGUGCAGGAUGACUGCCCUAUGGGUUGUAAACUGCUUUUGUCCAGGAAUAAACCUAAAUACGAGUAUUUAGCUGAAUGUACUGGAAGAAUAAGGAUCGGCUAACUCCGUG
RNAcentral lists this ribosomal RNA (488 nucleotides) under uncultured bacterium. RNAcentral describes it as "partial 16S ribosomal RNA". It matches the Rfam family "Bacterial small subunit ribosomal RNA", at positions 28 to 507 of the family's 1533-position model. The record is from RNAcentral.